GACGAACGCUGGCGGCGUGCUUAACACAUGCAAGUCGAACGGAAGGGCCCUGCUUUUGCGGGGUGCUCGAGUGGCGAACGUGUGAGUUACACGUGAGUAACCUGCCCUUGACUUUGGGAUAACUUCAGGCAACUGGGGCUAAUACCGGAUAGGAGCUCCUGCUGCUUGGUGGGGGUUGGAACGCUUGGGCGGUUGGGGAUGGACUGGGGGGUUACCAGCUUGUUGGUGGGGUAGUGGCUUACCAAGGGUUUGACGGGUAGCCCGCCUGGGAGGUUGGACGGCGACAUUGGGACUGCGAGAGGCAGCAGACUGCAACGGGAGGCAGCAGGGGAGAGUAUUGCACAGUGGGCGGAAGCCUGAUGCAGCAGCGCCGCGUGCGGGAUGACGGCCUUCGGGUUGGGAACCGCAGUAGCCUGUGACGAAGCUGGAGUGACGGUAAUGGGUAAAGAAGCACCGGCUAACUACGUG
RNAcentral lists this ribosomal RNA (468 nucleotides) under uncultured bacterium. Its description in RNAcentral is "partial 16S ribosomal RNA". It matches the Rfam family "Bacterial small subunit ribosomal RNA", at positions 28 to 507 of the family's 1533-position model. The record is from RNAcentral.